CAAAAUGGGAGGUAAAUUUCUCCUAAGGCUAAAUACAGGCGAGAGACCGAUAGCGAACAAGUACCGUGAGGGAAAGAUGAAAAGAACUUUGAAAAGAGAGUCAAACAGUACGUGAAAUUGUUGAAAGGGAAACGAUUGAAGCCAGUCGUACCGUCGGGAAUUCAACUUUUUAAGUGCUUGUCGUGGGUGAUGUAGAGCCUUACGGCCUUCGUUGCUUUGCGUUAUGGUGCUUUUAGGGUGUACUUUUCCGUAUGGUAGGUCAAUAUCGAUUUUGAUCGUCAUAAAAUGAUCGGAGGAAUGUGGCUUCGAUCUCGUAUCGGAGUGUUAUAGCCUUUGGUAGAUGUGACGAUUUGGAUCGAGGAUUGCAACGAAUACCCUUUGGGCUAUCCGUCUGACCUCUGAAAGUCGCUCGGGUGUCGAAAGCGUGCUUAUGACAUUCUAGUUGGCGGUUAAAAGGUUAGAACGCGAUUACA
This 473-nucleotide ribosomal RNA is filed under the name uncultured Glomeraceae. RNAcentral's name for it is "eukaryotic LSU rRNA". The stretch from base 1 to 408 matches the Rfam family "Eukaryotic large subunit ribosomal RNA", at positions 288 to 664 of the family's 3401-position model. Lineage: Eukaryota; Fungi; Glomeromycota; Glomeromycetes; Glomerales; Glomeraceae. The record is from RNAcentral.